Long non-coding RNA from Anas platyrhynchos (mallard), 9622 nucleotides. RefSeq lists it as uncharacterized. The record is from RefSeq and is a predicted model, not a curated record. Lineage: Eukaryota; Metazoa; Chordata; Aves; Anseriformes; Anatidae.
ACACUACUGCUUUUAGGUUAUUUUCCUUAUCCAAGAAACAUGUACACAUGUACUACUGCUACAGAAGCACCUGGCAGUAAAAACAUAAGCACAUUUAAGGGCACAUUUUUGUAUGAAUAUUUUUUUAUGUCAAGAGCAUAGCCUCAAAAAGCUCCUUCAUGUUUAAAAAUGUGACUACUUUAAAUGAAUCACAAAAGUUAGUGCUUGCUGCACUGGCUUCUCAAGCUGUUAUUUUAUGCCUUAAGCCAAAUUUAAAAGAAGCAACACCAGAGUGUAACAUCAGCUUGUCUUCACUUACUGCCUUGCUUCAUUUGCAUUCUUUCAACAAGGAGCUGAGAAAUGUUAAACAACCUGAAGAAUAUUUCUAACUUGUAACAGCAAUUUUGCUAUGAAUUAUCUUCUGAUUAGUUGCAUAACAAAAAGAUUUCUUUAUCUUUAAAGUAUUUUAGGCACAGAUAAAUGUAAACAUUUUAAAAAUACUACAUCAUACUUCUAAACACAAAAAUACUACUACACUCAUUAUUUUUCAGUCCAAAAGUAUAUUUCUAAAAAGUCCAGAAAUGCUGCACUUGGUAAUUGGUCCACUUGCUUUUCAUUAAAGAUCUUUAAGGUAAAACAUCAAGGUAGAAAAAUUAUAAUUAAAUAUAUAGAAAGAAAUACAUAUGACAUGAGUCAUUCACCUUUGUGUAUGUGUGUGUGUGUGUGUGUGCACAUGUGUGUGUGUGUACACGUGACUGAGAGAAUAUAAUACUCUUCUAAAACAUAAUUUAGAUAUAUCAGGCUUCAGGUAAAAGUAAGCAAAUAACAUGAUGACACUAACUGACUAACAUCUCAUUGUAGUCAGAGCCUCCCAGGAUGUCUGCAUCACUAGUGGGACAGAAGAGGGAGCCUGGAAGAACUAACACAUUGGUAUUACAGCUGGCUUGUUAAAGGUUUGCAAAUAUUGAUCGUUCCACAGUAUAGAGCUAUGUUUGCAGUAAUGGGGGAUAAGACCUGUGCCCUUGAUAACAGCAAAAGCAAAAGCCAGUCUCUUUGGUGCGGGUACAGUGCAAGCCUGGUUACACGCUGCAGCCAACUGGGUUGCCAGUUAUUAAGCUCUGCUGUAUGGCACUGUAGCAAGGUCCUUGGCUCCCUUACAGCAAAAGCCUUGGAAAACACUAGAUACAAACAGAAGAUGUCACCGAGAACACAGAAAACUGAAUCUCAAAAGAGGAUGAAAUGCGUGCUUACACAUACAACUCCUGUGGCUUUAAAGCAUGGUGCCCUCAGUCACCAAGUUUCAGAAACCACCCAGGUUCACCAACCUUUUCAUGUAAUUUUGCAUUUCUGGAAGGGUAGAGGUGAUGAAAGGUUAAAGCUCGGUUCUUCCUACCAAAUUCUUUAGCCGCUUCUAAUGCUUUUAACUAGUGUUCAUCACUAUUUCCACUCUCUUUCAGCUUCCCAGCUUUACCUUGUACUUUUAAUACUGAACUGUGCUCCCUAGAGAACCACCCAGAGUGAAGAAGCUCUUCUGUUAGAGUAUCAGCCUUUCCAUGUGAAUUCCUCAUGAAAAAUGCAGUUAGAAAUCUCUAGUAGGACUCCCACUGCAUUUCUACAUGUUGGUCAUUGGCAAAGAGAAGAGGGGAAGUGAAAAAGAGAGGAUAGAUGGAGAAUAAAGCUGACUGGGAUAUUUCAGAAAAAUGUUAAUGUUCUUCUGAAGGAAAAUACUGAUUCACAAGCAUCAAAAACUUUCAUCAAAUGGAAAUAAUUGGUUUUUGUCUUCCUUCACAGGAAUGUUGAGGAGUCUGUGAAGCAUUUUCAUCAUUUCAGGUGAAAAAGCCUUCUUAAUGAAGUGAGGCUCAACACAUUUUCAAAAAAGUAUGAAAUAGCUAAUACUAAAGCACAACAUUUGUCUAAGUCACAUUUUUUACAUUUGAUUUGGGAAACAGUGAAAGACACCUCCUCAUUGCAAUUUGGGAUGGAAUUUUUUAAAUCCCACAUUUUCACAAUGCAAAACCUGUUCUCCAUCAGCUCUGGCUGGCAAUCCCCACUUCUACACUAUGUCCCAAGAAGGCACUGCAAAGGAGCUGUAGGCAUUUUUGGGUAUGUCUACACUGCUAAAGAGAAGAAGAGCAGGAAGAGGCCUUGUGCACUGUACUGCUGAAUGCCAGGACUAAGCCUGGUUACAGUUCAGGGAACAGUUUGCUCCUGACUGCUCUUCUCUUUGGGAAGAAGGGCAUAAGAUGAAUGAAGUGGCCAGAGAUCUGUCUCUCUUCAUCCUACAACAUACACUACAGACACACAACUUUCAAACACCAUCAUACACUACUCAGUAGGUCAUAAAAUACCUAAGUUAUAGAUAUAAAAACAAACAAACAAACAACAACAAUAACAACAACAACAACAAACAAUUAAUAUUCUGGUGAUCUGCAACAGUUCUCCCUUUUUUUGGAUACCUGGGACCAAAAAUUCCCCACAGACUAUGUCAAAAGGCUAGAGGAUUAUCAUGCUAUAUCCAGAAGAGGCCCAUGGCCUGCCAGAAGGCAGAAAAGAUGGUCAGUCAACUGUGGUGCAAGUUAGCCAUCAGUGGUGUGGAAAGGGGAAAGCAUUAUUUCACCUUGACAUCAGGAGCUACUAUAUUCAACAGCAUGUUUGUACUUACUUACUUAUGUAUGUAUGUGUGUAUAAAAACUCUAGUUUAAUUGUAUGGAAGUAUCUUAAGGUGGGUCUGGAAUUUGUUGUAAUUGAUUUACUUGGUGACUCCAUUACUGGAAGGAGUUAAUUCUGUUACACACUUACCGUGUGCAUGGUUUCUAGAACGGUAUCUUUAUAAAAAGUAAUGGAAAGAUUUCUUCCAUUUUAAAAAUGAGCCAAAAACAAACAAACAAACAAACAAACAAACAAAAACAAACAGCAAUUUCCUGGAAUUUCAGCUUCAGCUUUACACUUCUACUCUUUGCAACUCCAGUGUUAAUUCAUUUUUCCUUUCUUGGUAAUUAAACAUGUUGUCCAUGCUAUUUAAUGGAAUUUUAGGGAAUGCAUUUACCUCUAUUAUCUACUUAACUGGAUUAUAAAAUGCAUCAUAAACAAAUUAAACUGAAUAAUCUAGUCUUAAUUAUUUAAUACAGUUCUGCAUUAUAUAAAUAUUACGUAGUGUAUUUUUAAUUUUAAUUAUAUGUGAGAUUUCACAGAAAAAAAACAACAUGCUAAGGACUUUUAAUAUGGCAAAUAAACAAGACUCAUAAGACAACUUUUUUUUUCUAAUAUACUUAGUAUAGAAAAACAUUAAUUAAAUGUAAACAUAAAAAUAUAGUAAUCUGACUGUAGUAUUCACAAUACUUCAGGACUGACUACUCGGGUUUGGAGUAACUAAAGCAACAAGAGCAGACCACCAGUUUGACAGCACCAAGAAGGAUGCCAGGACAGCCAGGCCUCCCUGCCCCACACACCUUCACAGAAUCACAAAAUGGCUGAGGUUGGAAGGGACCUCUGGAGAUCAUCUGGUCCAACCCCCCCGCUAAAGCAGGGUCCCUAGGACACAUUACUUAUGAUUGUGUCCAGACAGCUUUUGAAUAUCUCCAGUGAAGGAGACUCUAAAAAGUCUCUCUGCAACCUGUGCCAGUGCUUGGUCACCCUGACAGUAACAUAGUUUUUCUCAUGUUCAGCUGGAACGUCCUGUGUUUCAUUUUGUGCCCAUUGCCUCUUGUCCACUGAGGAGAGUCUGGCUCCAUCCUCUUGACACCUUCCCUUCAGAUACUUAUACACAUUGAUGAGAUUCACUCUGUGUCCUUUCUUCUACCAGGCUGAACAAGCCCAGCUCCAUCAUGUGAGAAAUGCUCCAGUCCCUUAAUAAUUUUAGUAGCCCUUUGCUGGACUGUCUCCAGUAGUUUUAUGUCCCUCUUGUACUGGGGAGCCCAGAACUGGACACAGGACUCCAGAUGUGGCCCCACGAGGGCUGAGUAGAGGAGGAGAAUCUCCCUCAACCUGCUGACAGUGCUCAUCCUAAUUCAGCCCAGGAUACCACAAAGGCCCAUUGCUGGCUCCUGGUUAACUAGUCCACCAGGACUCCCAGGUCCUUCUCUGCAGAGUAACUUUUUGGCAAGUCAUCCCCCAGCCUGUACUGGUGCAUGGGGUUAUUCCUCCCCAGGUGCAGGACCCUGCACUUGAAUUUCAAGAUGUUCCUCUCUGCCCAUCUCUCCAGCCUGUCUAGACCCUUCUGAAUGGCACCACACUCUGGGGUAUCAGCCACUCCUCCCAGUUUUGUAUCACAGCAAACUUUCUGAGGAGGCACUCUAUCCCUUCAUCUGAGUAAUUGAUGAAUAGGUUAACAACAUGGGACCCAGUACUGAGCCCUAGGGAACAUCAGUAGCUACAGGUCUCCAGCUAGACUCUGUGCCACUGAUCAUAGCCCUCUGAGACCUGCCAUCCAGCCAGUUCUCAGCCCACUUCACUGUCUACUCAUCCAGCCCACCCUUCCCAAGCUUGCCUAUAACAAUACGAUGGGAGACAGUACCAAAAGCCUUGCUGAAGUCACGGUAGACAACAUCCACUGCUCUCCCCUCAUCUAUCCAGCUAAUUGUCCUAUCAUAGAAGGCAAUCAGGUUGGUUAACCAUGAUUUCCCUUUGGUGUAUCAAUGCAGGCUACUCUUGAUCACUUUCUUGUCUACCAUAUGCUUAGAGAUAGCCUCCAGGAUGAGCUGUUCCAUCAUCUCUCUAGGGACUGAAGUGAGGCUGACUGGACUGUAGUUCCCUGGGUCCUCCUUCUUUUGAAGACUGGAGUGACAUCAGCUUUCUUCUAGUCCUCAGGCAUCUCUUCUGAUUGCCAUGACAAAGAUGAUCUAGAGUGGCUUAACAAUGAUGUCUGCCAGCUCCUUCAGCACUAAUGAGUUCUAAUUCCAAUUCCAAUUCUAUUUCUAAUUCCAAUUCCAAUUCUAAAAAUGAAUCAAAUAGAACAAGGGCAGACCUCAAAAGACAGAUCUAAAAGUAGAUUCUGGUUUCGACCUGGUUCUCUUAGGAGGCAAUAUUUGCAGUACAUGGAGGUGUGUGAUUUUGUGCCGUAAGAAUUGAUAUAUUUCUUGUAUUUCAGGGAAACCAAUAUUAUAAACUGCUCUACUUAAUUGCUUCCAGGUGUAUGUCAAUUACUACCCAAAAGGAUUUCAUUCCAUUAUUUACACACAAGCAAUUAAGCAUGUAAUCACGUUUCAUGCAGUUUACAUUCAAACUGUUCAAUAGAGCCUUACUCUCCAAAUACAAGGAAACAUUUUCCAGAUAUGUUUCCUUUUCAGUGGAACAAUCCUAGACAAACCACUUCCUUCUGCUAGUAACAGACUCAAAUCCAAUUGUUAGGAGUCAAAAAUCAGCAGCAAAUCAUAGCAGUCCUCCCUGGAAUACAAGCUGCUGUUUUCAGACUUUUUUUUUUCAGUUGAUGUCAUGCACCUAAUGGCAGUAUUCAGCAUACUUUUUUAGCAGGCUGGUCAUGCAAACCAGGUUACAGAGUCUACAAAAACAAAACUCACUUUCAAAAGUAAUACUACAGAAAACUAGCACAGACGUUUGUGAAAUUUAAUAACAAUGCUGGUUCUUUAUCACCAUUCUGAGGUUAUAUAGCACACCAGAAUUUCCAGGAAUGUUUGUCUGGCACAUUUCAUAUGUAUUAAAGUUAUAAUAGCAAUUUUAUAAAGGCUGCAGAGUCUCAUUAUUACCAAAAGACUCAUCAAAACAAAUAUAAUCAUAAUUCAAAGUUAAAUGACAUCAAUUUUUUUCAAAGAAUUUUUAAACCAUCACUUUCAUUUUUGUAUUUUGUCUGCAUGGAAAGUUGCACAAAAUAUGUUGCUGCAGGGCUGCACCUAACUAUAUUGGGCAUCCAGAAAUAGGUGUAUCUGACUCAGAAUUUCUGCAUGCUUUGCCAGCCAAUCAAACUAUGAGAUGCAAGCUAUGGUUAAAUUAAGCAAUAAGCUGCAAGUUGUGACUUAUCGGUAUACAACACACUGCAAGGAAGAAGAUCACAACAGGAAACUGUUUUAAAGUAGUAGUUGUCCUCAGCACAGCUAAGAAUAUCAUCACCACCGUGGCUUUGCACAGUUUGAGUCAGAGGACCAAGUGCUCUAAACUGAAUGUUACAGAGCAGGAUUAAACAUAAAAUUAUGGUUUCCAACUUAUACAGCACCUUUGGAAAUUUCAAGAAUACUAAGAUAAAGGAUCCUACUACUUCAUCGGUAUUUUGCUUGAGUAAGAGCUGCUGGAUGCAGACUGGAAUUAAUGGCUGGUACACAGCUUUAGGAUUUGGCUUGCCAUUUGUACCUCUUAAAGACUUCUCUAUCCAAAAGUGCUAAUGUUUGACUCAACAAACUGUGUCAUUAACUCAGCUAUAGUUUCAAGGAGAAAUUCCCUGGACAAGGAUAAGACUGCUCUGGAGCGACUGAAUUCCUUCCUGCAGAAAAAGUCUCUGAGGAUUAUAUUUCUCACCAAGCCAAAGGGUAUUCAGAGAUGGAAAUAUCAGAUGUCUCUCCUCAGGUCUUCUUCCAAGUGUGCCUGUACUCAUGACAGAGUGCAGAGAUUGGGCUGCACUCCUGCUUCGUCCCUUCCUGUCAAACUACCCACAGGAGCAGCCAAAAUGUGACCUAAUCUCCAGCCAAAUGUGGACUCAGGUGGGAAUAAAACAGCUGAGGCUCAUUCUCAGCAAAGAGGAGGGUGCUGAUGGCAUGAGGAUUGCUGUCCCCAGUAGAUGUUAAGUCUACAAGAGCCAUCAGCAAGAUCAGCAGCAGUCCAGAGGAGAUGCUACCUUCUACACCCUGCUGGGAAAAUUCAUCUUGCAGGUACAGAUCAUGCUAGAAGUGCCAGAGGAUGUGGACACCUGCUUGGGGAGGGGGGCAGCCCACAUGCAACUGCUCCCCAGCCAGGCACAUGGCAUGGCUCAUGUGUGUCACCUGCCUUUCUGGAAAUGCAAGAGACUAAGACAUACAGCAGGGCUACAUGCUGGUGCUCUGAAGAAAGGGUCUGCCUGUUGCACAGUGUAAUGUUUUGCUAUAGGAGUUUCAAGCAGUUUAUAUACAGUAUUCAAAUUGCACAGACUAGGGUUCAUCCAUUAUUCUAACUUGAUAUGAAAUCAAAUUAAUGAAUAAGCACCUUAUAAAGCAGAAAAAUGCUGAAAGCUAUUGUUUUAAGUCUAAAGACAAGCUUGGCCUCUGACUCUGAUAAUAAGUCAGAUACCUGUAUUUGCUUUAGCUACGAGAACACACAUACACACACACACACACAAAAUACACCAACAUUUACAAGGGAAAAACCACAACUGAAUGCAAUUUUCAUUACGUAGAAAAAUAUUACUGAUUAUUUUCUCAGGUCUGCACAAAGGGUCAAAACCUCAGUGGAAGAAAGAUGUAAAGAUCAAUAGAACUCUUUAUCUAUAUUUAAAUCUGAUAAAUUGAUUCACUUUGGUACUUCAGCUUCUCUCAACAGGAAGCAAAUAAGAAAAGGGAAAAUGUCAAUUAAAACAUGUUAAUAAUGUAAGAUAAGCCCACAUUUCUAAUUUAAUCGUUUCAAAAUUCAAUGUCAGUCAAGUACUGUUACAGUCAAGUAGAUAUUCAUAAAUUCUCCCUCACUUUGAAGAUUUUGUUCCCAUCUAGGUAAUGUCUUCUGCCUCUGUACACUUCCACAAGUGCUCUCAACAUAGCUCUCCCUACACAGUAUCUCCAAACAGCAAAAUCUCAUGUGGAGUGCCUGCAUAUACAAAAUAUAAUAGCUUCAACAUCUUUGGAAUAGGCCUUCAACCCUCCAUACAAAAAUUUCUCAAGUAUGUCUUCAGAAGGUUUAUAAACAUAUCUCUAAUUCAGAUGGUUUUCACCAUCAUCCCUGAUUGAAAGACAGAGCUUUUAUCAAUGCUCAGUUGAUGAUUUCUACUAACUACUACGUAAGUGCUAUUAACUACUAAUAAUGCCACUAAAAAUUACAUCUAAAAGCAUUUUCAGGAUGAAAAUCAAAAUUCCUUCCAAAGUGCACUUAUAAGUCGCGAUCACCACCUGCCUCAUCACUGCCUACAAGAAUCUGUCAAUUCCAAUGCCCCGGCAUGCAGAUUAGUGGAAGCCAAAUCACAAGUUUAGUCAGCAGCCAGUGUGACCUUUCAGGAAGGCUAACUUUCCAGACAGUAUCUCCAAGCACCAAAUCAAAUCUAUUGCUUCCAAGCUUAAAGGGGGAGAGAAAUAUAUUUGUUUGAACAGCUUGUUUUGUUAUAUAAAAAUUUACAACACCUAAACAGCAAAACUGUUCCUCUUUUUUUUCUUCUUUUUUUUUUUUUUUUUUUUCCAGAAUUCUACUUCAUCUUCAGUCUACAGAUGCAGUUAUUAAUGGGUUGUUUUCUCAAGAAGAGAAACAUCCAUUGAUUGAAUGACUGGCAAUUCAGUAAAUCACUAAAGUGCACGUGUACCUAGUGUGACUAACUGCAUGUUGCACAGGAAGUGUCCUGAAACCUCCUCUGAGAAACUGACAUUUAUUUCACGUUGCUAGUAAAAGCAAUUUAGGUGGGGCCAAAGGCAUGAAAAGUUCCACCUCCCAGCUGCACUUCAGAAGGGUUUCAGGGACAGCUCUGAGAAACACCCUCCCUCUGCCAGCACAGGCUCCUUUUUCCUUCCCACUGCAGAUAUCUGCAGGGAGCUCACUGAACCCGUACACAAGCUGCUUUACAUUUCCUGCCACCAAUAAGCAUCCUUUUGCAGAGAGCAGCAAACAAGGAUGUGCUCUUCUACGGCAAUGGCUCAUAAAAGGCACACGCACACACACACACACAAAGACUAUAGGAACUGUUGCACAGAGAUGAGAGAAGACACAGAGAUUUCUUUCCUCCAAAUAAUUUUACGGGCCACUUCUAACCUCAGUCAGCAUGUAGCAGUGUAUUUCAAGCUGAUGAAUCCACUGUGUGAUGUUCUGGCAACAUGGCAAUGCAUCUUCUCCAGAAUGGGGCCACAUGAAAGGACAUCACCUGCUCUCCAAACCCAGCCCUGUGCAGACACCACGCGGGGCUCACACCAGCUUUCUCUGAGCAUUAACUGUCAUGCUCUAAAGACAUGUCAGCGUCACCAUCAAAAAGACAUGCUUGCUGAUACAGACUCCUCUCCUGGGGAAACCAACCUGCGUUUCCAAGCUCCCUGCCAAACACCUCCAUGACUUACAGAAGUGCAUCCAACACAUUUCAUUUUCUUUUUCCCACAAAGGCCCUCUCGGGUCUGUCAGGAUCCAUACAAGUUAUAUAUUUAGAAAAGGCCCCAGCAGUAACUUUUAAGUGCAUACCUGUUAACAGAGCAUGGAAGAAGAUUUGUGCAUUUGCGUCUAAUGGGUAAUUCUCAGAUACCAUGCUUAUGGAUGAGUUUAAGCCAUACAAAGCAAUUAAAUUUAGUGCACUAGAAGAAGAUAGAUGCUAUUUCUGACUGAAUGACCUCAAAAGAAUGGGCAUAGAUGCUCUAAUCUGAGGCCCUAGCAAACCAUGGAGCAUCUGAAUAUGUUUGGUAAUGUUGUUUUCCUCUCAAAGCAGAAAGAUCUUACUCUCUUGGAUUUGUCAUAUUUGACUCCUGGCACCAGUACGUUGAUACCAUAUGAUACCUGCUAUGACUACAAUAAAAUAAUUAAAACUCUCAAAAGGUUUAAUGUGUUC